Molecule: non-coding RNA, 28 nt
Filed under: Homo sapiens (human)
Lineage: Eukaryota; Metazoa; Chordata; Mammalia; Primates; Hominidae
Source: RNAcentral
CNGGCUACAUUAGGCCUAUACACAGGCC